AUGAUCAUGCGUCCCAUUAGCUAGGUGGUAAGGUAAGGGCUUACCUAGGGAACGAUGGGUAGGGGUCCUGAGAGGGAGAUCCCCCACACUGGUACUGAGACACGGACCAGACUCCUACGGGAGGCAGCAGUGAGGAAUAUUGGUCAAUGGGCGCAAGCCUGAACCAGCCAUGCCGCGUGCAGGAUGACGGUCCUAUGGAUUGUAAACUGCUUUUGCACAGGAAGAAACACUCGGUCGUGACCGAGCUUGACGGAACUGUGAGAAUAAGGAUCGGCUAACUCCGUGCCAGCAGCCGCGGUAAUACGGAGGAUCCAAGCGUUAUCCGGAAUCAUUGGGUUUAAAGGGUCCGUAGGCGGCCAGAUAAGUCAGUGGUGAAAGCCCAUCGCUCAACGAUGGAACGGCCAUUGAUACUGUUUGGCUUGAAUUAUUUGGAAGUAACUAGAAUAUGUAGUGUAGCGGUGAAAUGCUUAGAGAUUACAUGGAAUACCAAUUGCGAAGGCAGGUUACUACAAAUUGAUUGACGCUGAUGGACGAAAGCGUGGGUAGCGAACAGGAUUAGAUACCCUGGUAGUCCACGCCGUAAACGAUGGAUACUAGCUGUUGGGAGCAAUCUCAGUGGCUAAGCGAAAGUGAUAAGUAUCCCACCUGGGGAGUACGUUCGCAAGAAUGAAACUCAAAGGAAUUGACAGGGGCCCGCACAAGCGGUGGAGCAUGUGGUUUAAUUCGAUGAUACGCGAGGAACCUUUACCAAGGGCUUAAUGUAGAUUGACCGGUUUUGGAAACAGUACUUUUCGCAAGACAAUUUACAAGGUGCUGCAUGGUUGUCGUCAGCUCGUGCCGUGAGGUGUCAGGUUAAGUCCUAUAACGAGCGCAACCCCUGUUGUUAGUUGCCAGCGAGUCAUGUCGGGAACUCUAGCAAGACUGCCAGUGUAAACUGUGAGGAAGGCCGGAUGACGUCAAAUCAUCCCGGCCCUUACGCCUUGGGCUACACACG
This 994-nucleotide ribosomal RNA is filed under the name Flavobacterium psychrophilum. Its description in RNAcentral is "bacterial SSU rRNA". It matches the Rfam family "Bacterial small subunit ribosomal RNA", at positions 225 to 1222 of the family's 1533-position model. The record is from RNAcentral. Lineage: Bacteria; Pseudomonadati; Bacteroidota; Flavobacteriia; Flavobacteriales; Flavobacteriaceae.